GACGAACGCUGGCGGCGUGCUUAACACAUGCAAGUCGAACGGAAAGGCCCUGCUUGCAGGGUACUCGAGUGGCGAACGGGUGAGUAACACGUGGGUGAUCUGCCCUGCACUUCGGGAUAAGCCUGGGAAACUGGGUCUAAUACCGGAUAGGAGCCAUUUUUAGUGUGAUGGUUGGAAAGUUUUUUCGGUGUAGGAUGAGCUCGCGGCCUAUCAGCUUGUUGGUGGGGUAAUGGCCUACCAAGGCGGCGACGGGUAGCCGGCCUGAGAGGGUGGACGGCCACAUUGGGACUUAGAUACGGCCCAGACUCCUACGGGAGGCAGCAGUGGGGAAUAUUGCACAAUGGGCGCAAGCCUGAUGCAGCGACGCCGCGUGGGGGAUGACGGCCUUCGGGUUGUAAACUCCUUUCGCUAGGGACGAAGCUUUUUGUGACGGUACCUAGAUAAGAAGCACCGGCUAACUACGUG
RNAcentral lists this ribosomal RNA (465 nucleotides) under uncultured bacterium. Its description in RNAcentral is "partial 16S ribosomal RNA". It matches the Rfam family "Bacterial small subunit ribosomal RNA", at positions 28 to 507 of the family's 1533-position model. The record is from RNAcentral.